Molecule: ribosomal RNA, 409 nt
Filed under: Actinomycetes bacterium
Lineage: Bacteria; Bacillati; Actinomycetota; Actinomycetes
Description: Actinobacteria bacterium partial 16S ribosomal RNA
Rfam family: Bacterial small subunit ribosomal RNA
Source: RNAcentral
UGGGGAAUAUUGCACAAUGGGCGGAAGCCUGAUGCAGCGACGCCGCGUGAGGGAUGACGGCCUUCGGGUUGUAAACCUCUUUCAGCAGGGACGAAGCGCAAGUGACGGUACCUGCAGAAGAAGCGCCGGCCAACUACGUGCCAGCAGCCGCGGUAAGACGUAGGGCGCGAGCGUUGUCCGGAUUUAUUGGGCGUAAAGAGCUCGUAGGCGGCUUGUCGCGUCGACUGUGAAAACCCGCGGCUCAACCGCGGGCUUGCAGCCGAUACGGGCAGGCUAGAGUUCGGUAGGGGAGACUGGAAUUCCUGGUGUAGCGGUGAAAUGCGCAGAUAUCAGGAGGAGCACCGAUGGCGAAGGCAGGUCUCUGGGCCGAUACUGACGCUGAGGAGCGAAAGCGUGGGGAGCGAACAGG